UUCAACGGCCGCGGUAUUUUGACCGUGCAAAGGUAGCGUAAUCACCUGUCUUUUAAAUGAAGACCUGUAUGAAUGGCAAAACGAGGGCUUAACUGUCUCCCUUUUAAGGUCAGUGAAAUUGAUCUGUCCGUGCAGAAGCGGACAUACAAAUACAAGACGAGAAGACCCUUUGGAGCUUAAGACUUCCAGCUAACUAUGUUAAUAAGCCAAUUUAAUCUGCUUAAACUAAAUAGUACUUAGCCCACGUCUUCGGUUGGGGCGACCGCGGAGGAAAACAAAGCCUCCAUGUGGAAUGGGGCCACCGCCCCAAAAUCUAGAGGGACACCUCUAAGUCACAGAACAUCUGACCAAAAAGAUCCGGCCACCAGGCCGACCAGCGAACCAAGUUACCCUAGGGAUAACAGCGCAAUCCCCUCCCAGAGUCCCUAUCGACAAGGGGGUUUACGACCUCGAUGUUGGAUCAGGACAUCCUAAUGGUGCAGCCGCUAUUAAGGGUUCGUUUGUUCAACGAUUAAAGUCCUAC
This 523-nucleotide ribosomal RNA is filed under the name Rhabdolichops jegui. RNAcentral's name for it is "partial 16S ribosomal RNA". It matches the Rfam family "Bacterial large subunit ribosomal RNA", at positions 1923 to 2599 of the family's 2925-position model. The record is from RNAcentral. Lineage: Eukaryota; Metazoa; Chordata; Actinopteri; Gymnotiformes; Sternopygidae.